UACGUAGGGUGCAAGCGUUAAUCGGAAUUACUGGGCGUAAAGCGUGCGCAGGCGGUUUUGUAAGUCUGUCGUGAAAGCCCCGGGCUCAACCUGGGAAUUGCGAUGGAGACUGCAAGGCUUGAAGCUGGCAGAGGGGGGUAGAAUUCCACGUGUAGCAGUGAAAUGCGUAGAGAUGUGGAGGAACACCGAUGGCGAAGGAAGCCCCC
Molecule: ribosomal RNA, 206 nt
Filed under: uncultured bacterium
Lineage: Bacteria
Description: partial 16S ribosomal RNA
Rfam family: Bacterial small subunit ribosomal RNA
Source: RNAcentral